Molecule: ribosomal RNA, 537 nt
Filed under: Colletotrichum gloeosporioides
Lineage: Eukaryota; Fungi; Ascomycota; Sordariomycetes; Glomerellales; Glomerellaceae
Description: eukaryotic LSU rRNA
Rfam family: 5.8S ribosomal RNA (bases 176-329)
Source: RNAcentral
UUACUGAGUUUACGCUCUAUAACCCUUUGUGAACAUACCUAUAACUGUUGCUUCGGCGGGUAGGGUCUCCGCGACCCUCCCGGCCUCCCGCCUCCGGGCGGGUCGGCGCCCGCCGGAGGAUAACCAAACUCUGAUUUAACGACGUUUCUUCUGAGUGGUACAAGCAAAUAAUCAAAACUUUUAACAACGGAUCUCUUGGUUCUGGCAUCGAUGAAGAACGCAGCGAAAUGCGAUAAGUAAUGUGAAUUGCAGAAUUCAGUGAAUCAUCGAAUCUUUGAACGCACAUUGCGCCCGCCAGCAUUCUGGCGGGCAUGCCUGUUCGAGCGUCAUUUCAACCCUCAAGCUCUGCUUGGUGUUGGGGCCCUACAGCUGAUGUAGGCCCUCAAAGGUAGUGGCGGACCCUCCCGGAGCCUCCUUUGCGUAGUAACUUUACGUCUCGCACUGGGAUCCGGAGGGACUCUUGCCGUAAAACCCCCCAAUUUUCCAAAGGUUGACCUCGGAUCAGGUAGAAUACCCGCUGAACUUAAGCAUAUCAAU